This 254-nucleotide ribosomal RNA is filed under the name uncultured Lactobacillus sp. RNAcentral describes it as "partial 16S ribosomal RNA". It matches the Rfam family "Bacterial small subunit ribosomal RNA", at positions 109 to 355 of the family's 1533-position model. The record is from RNAcentral. Lineage: Bacteria; Bacillati; Bacillota; Bacilli; Lactobacillales; Lactobacillaceae.
AGUAACACGUGGGUAACCUGCCCUUAAGUCUGGGAUACCAUUUGGAAACAGAUGCUAAUACCGGAUAAAAGCUACUUUCGCAUGAAAGAAGUUUAAAAGGCGGCGUAAGCUGUCGCUAAAGGAUGGACCUGCGAUGCAUUAGCUAGUUGGUAAGGUAACGGCUUACCAAGGCGAUGAUGCAUAGCCGAGUUGAGAGACUGAUAGGCCACAUUGGGACUGAGACACGGCCCAAACUCCUACGGGAGGCAGCAGCC